AAACCCGAAAGGUCGAAGGGAGAAAUUCAUUCGCGUUUCGACGUAGGCGUUGGACGGGGUCGAGAGAGAGAGCGAGAUAACGAUGGAACGCGUUCUUCGGAACGAGUUUCGCGUUUCUCACCCCCUACUCGUUCUUCGAACCGGCGACGAACGCGUGCACUUUUCUCCUGGUAGGACGUCGCGAUCCGUCGGGUGUCGGUCUACGACUUGCGGUGGAGCCCGUCCGUCGUCCUAACGUGACGGUACGGAUGGACCCGCAACGCUCUGGCCGACUCGCUCGACGGUAUACUAAACGGUCGGAGGCCGCUCGUUACAGGAGCGUUCGACUCGUCGCAAGCGCGCCACGUGCGUCGGCACGCGGACCUAGUGCCGCGUCCGACCUCUGGUGACUGUUGGCGACGAAGUUCUCGAACAGACCUUCUUUUUUUUUGGAAACAAAAAAAAUGACCGAUCGGCGACGCUAUAGCUUUGGGUACUUUCAGGACCCGUCUUGAAACACGGACCAAGGAGUCUAGCAUGUACGCGAGUCAUUGGGAAUCACUAAACCUAAAGGCGUAAUGAAAGUGAAGGUCUUCCUCGCGAAGACCGAGGGAAGACGGACGGUUAAUUUUUAUAAACCACCCUCAAAAAGUGGGACCGUCCUGCAUUCCCGGGGCGUCUCGUUCACAUUGCGUGAAGAGGCGCACCAAGAGCGUACACGCUGGGACCCGAAAGAUGGUGAACUAUGCCUGGUCAGGACGAAGUCAGGGGAAACCCUGAUGGAGGUCCGUA
RNAcentral lists this ribosomal RNA (771 nucleotides) under Xylosandrus sp. n. 342 SAD-2010. RNAcentral's name for it is "eukaryotic LSU rRNA". It matches the Rfam family "Eukaryotic large subunit ribosomal RNA", at positions 417 to 879 of the family's 3401-position model. Lineage: Eukaryota; Metazoa; Arthropoda; Insecta; Coleoptera; Curculionidae. The record is from RNAcentral.